CGGUCAGUGUGUGGUGUAGGAAGUGUUGUGCGAAUUGUGCGGAUAUGGUGACGUGGUGAGGGCGGUGAUGGUGCUCCUGGUGUAAGGCAGUGAUGGGUGUGUUGCAUCUCAUAAGUGACAUAAGGACAUUCAGAUGGUCCAGGAGGCGAGGGACGGAGAAGGUGGCCAUCGAACUAUUGUGAAGGGAUGGCGGCACAGUGGGGAGGAGGAACGAACAUCGGACUGGUGGAGGUGACGUCACAGGAGCGGAGAACUGUAUCGGUGUGUGACGUGGCUUGUGACUGUGGGAAUGAGGACGAGAAGACGCCGGGAAGCAAUGGGACGAUCAUUCACAAGGACGAGGGAACGCUGCUGGCCGGGGAAGGUGUGGAGUCUGCUAAUUAAGAGAACACGGACAGGUCGCCAUAAGCGUGUUGCGGCGGUGAUAGCAUCGGUGACACGCCUUCCUCCCCUUCCCAUCUCGAGGGAAAAAGCAAGGGACUGAAGUACCACUACCACCACCACCACCACUACCGCCACCGCCACCGCCACCGCCGCCACCGCCAUCAUUAUUAUUAACAUUGUCAUUAUUACCUGAGUGGCGUCGAGUCCAUAUUUUCCUGAGCGAUACUUCGACUAUUAUCUCGCCUUGUAACGAGGAAUGGGACCGACACCACCACCACUACCACCAUCACCACCACCACCUCCACCUCCACCACCGCCGCCCGCCUGCUUGAUAAGACGCGUGCAUUCCUUCCAUUCCCGCAGGCAG
Portunus trituberculatus (swimming crab) is the source of this 751-nucleotide long non-coding RNA. RefSeq lists it as uncharacterized. The record is from RefSeq and is a predicted model, not a curated record. NCBI's taxonomy places the organism in Eukaryota, Metazoa, Arthropoda, Malacostraca, Decapoda, Portunidae. The transcript is spliced from 6 exons.